Molecule: ribosomal RNA, 433 nt
Filed under: uncultured bacterium
Lineage: Bacteria
Description: partial 16S ribosomal RNA
Rfam family: Bacterial small subunit ribosomal RNA
Source: RNAcentral
AACGAACGCUGGCGGCAGGCUUAACACAUGCAAGUCGAGCGAGACCUUCGGGUCUAGCGGCGGACGGGUGAGUAACGCGUGGGAACGUGCCCUUCUCUACGGAAUAGCCCCGGGAAACUGGGAGUAAUACCGUAUACGCCCUUUGUGGGAAAGAUUUAUCGGAGAAGGAUCGGCCCGCGUUGGAUUAGGUAGUUGGUGGGGUAAUGGCCCACCAAGCCGACGAUCCAUAGCUGGUUUGAGAGGAUGAUCAGCCACACUGGGACUGAGACACGGCCCAGACUCCUACGGGAGGCAGCAGUGGGGAAUCUUAGACAAUGGGGGCAACCCUGAUCUAGCCAUGCCGCGUGAGUGAUGAAGGCCUUAGGGUUGUAAAGCUCUUUCAGCUGGGAAGAUAAUGACGGUACCAGCAGAAGAAGCCCCGGCUAACUCCGUG